This is an RNA transcript of Prionailurus viverrinus (fishing cat), 2174 nucleotides long. It is a transcript of the gene named niban apoptosis regulator 3, with no coding region annotated. NCBI's taxonomy places the organism in Eukaryota, Metazoa, Chordata, Mammalia, Carnivora, Felidae. The transcript is spliced from 16 exons. The record is from RefSeq and is a predicted model, not a curated record.
GAGCCCAACAAACGCACACACUCACGCAGGGCCUAUGUUCUGGCUUCUGAGCCCAGGCGGCUGGUCUCGGCGGCAGCCAGGCCUCUUACGGGCUGCCCUGCUCCCGCGGUGCCCCUGAACUCAGAAACCUGGGGGUCGUGGGAGGGAAGGGAGUGUCUGCUUUGCUCUCGAGGGAGCCCCCAGUGACUGCAGCAGGAUGGGUGGGCGGCCCUCGAGUCCCCUGGACAAGCGGCGGCAACAGCACCUGAGAGGCCAGGUGGACACCAUGCUGAGGGACUUCCUGCCCUGCUAUCGCGAGCAGCUGGCGGCCUCUGUCCUGCGACAGAUCUCCCGUGAGCUGGGGCCCCAGGAGCCCGCCGGAUGCCAGCUGAUGCGCAGUAAAAAGCUUCCCCGAGUCCGUGAGCACCAAGGGCCUCUGACCCAGCUGUGGGGCCACCCGCCUCGGUGGCAGCCGAUCUUCUGUGUCCUGCGGGGGGAUGGCCGCCUGGAGUGGUUCAGCCAUAGGGAGGAAUAUGAGAAUGGGGGCCAUCCCCUCGGCUCCGUGGCCUUGACAGGGUAUACUGUCCUGACUUCCCAGCGUGAAUAUCUCUGCCUGUUGGAUGCUCUCUGCCCAGUCUCCUCAGGAGAACAUACCCAGGAAGAGCCCGAACCCCUCCUGGAAAUGCCCGUGAACUUCCCCCUGUUCCUGCAGCACCCCUUCCGCCGGCACCUCUGUUUCUCCGCGGCCACGGGGGAAGCGCGGCGGGCUUGGAGGCUGGCCCUCCAGGGUGGCAUCCGGCUCCGUGGGACAGUCUUGCAGCGCAGUCAGGCCCCCGCAGCCCGUGCCUUCCUGGACGCCUUAAGACUCUAUCGGCAGCGCCGAGGCCACUUUGGCGAGGACGACGUGACCCUGGGCUCGGAUGCCGAGGUGCUGACCGGGGUGCUGAUGCGGGAGCUGCUGCCGGCGCUGCGAGCCCAGACCCUGCCCGGCCUGCGGGGGGCCAGCCGCAACCGUGCCUGGGCCUGGACCGAGCUCCUAGACGCAGUCCACGCUGCCGUCCUGGCCGGGGCCUCCGCCGGGCUCCGCGCCUUCCAGCCGGAAAAGGACGAACUGCUGGCGGCCCUGGAGAAGAACAUCCGCCCGGACGUGGACCAGAUUCUGCAGCUGCGGGCGCGCGUGGCGCGGAGGCUGCGGGUGGAGGUCGAGGGUCCCCUGGAGUCCUGCCUGCGCGGGAGGGUGGACACACAGCUGUCCCGGGUCACGCAAAAGCUGCUGAGCACCGUGGAAGCCGUGCUCUCAACAGUGCAGGCCCUCCUAGCCCAGGGCAUGGACCGCCUGUCUCGCCACCUGCGUGGGAGCCCCUCUAGCACCCGCUUGCGCAAGGAGGUUUACUCGUUUGGGGAGAUGCCGUGGGACUCAGAGCUGAUGCACGCCUGCUACCGUGAGGCUGAGCGAAGCCAGAAGCGCCUGGGGCAGCUGGUGGCGCCAUUUGGCUUCUUUGGCACACGAAGCCUGGUAUUUGGGGCCCAGGAUCUCGCACAGCAGCUUAUGGCUGACGCCGUGGCCACCUUCCUACAGCUGGCGGACCAGUGUCUGACCACAGCCCUGGACUGCACCCAGGCUGCCCAGCAGUUGGAGAAAGUCAGGGGGCGUGUGCUGAAGAAGUUCCAGUCGGACAGCAGCUCAGCGCGGAGGAGGUUCAUCCGUGGAUGGUUGCUUUGUAUCUUCUUGCCCUUUGUGUUGAGCCAGCUGAAGAGUAGCUGCAAAGCGGAGCUGCCUGAGUUCGAAGGGGAGGUCCUCGCCGUGGGUAGCCCGGCCCUGACCAUCGAGGGUAUCUAUGAAGACAUUGUCCGGGGGGUCCUGCUGCAGAGGAUUGAUGGAGAACUGAAAAAGGCCCUUGGUGUCAGCGACAUGUCCUGCGCUCUGGAUGGCUGCUCAGAGGCCCCAUGGGACCCGACAGGAGCAGACGAGGAAACUGAGGCUCAGAGAGGGACUUGUCCCAGGCAACCAGGCUCUGGUGCCGAGGUCCAGCCGCUCUGCUCACGGCCUCCUCCAGGAACAUCCACAGCGGCGUCUCGACUGCAUCUCUCUUCGUUCCCAUCGGACAAAUAAGUCAAAGCAUCCACACCAUUUCAAGGCUUUUAUUUUUCUUUUAUUAUUAAAAAAAUUUUUUUUAGGGGCGCCUGGGUGGCUC